UUUAGAUAUAUUUCAAAUAAAUGCAUUUAGAACUAUAAAAACUUCUCUGUGAUUGGCAGUAAACUGUUUUAAAAUCCCAUUCUAGAAGCAUUUCCUGUUAAAAUAUAUUAAUGUUUGCUAGUUUAACAAAAGAGGUUAACAAAGCAUCCUAUAUUCCCAUCAGUAAUAUUGUACUUGUGGACUACAGGCAAAUGAACCUGUCUUUUUCUUUUUUAUUGUUUUAAAUUUUAUUUAUUAUUUUAGAGAUGGGGUCUUGCUAUGUUGCCCAGGCUGGAGUGCAGUGGCUAUUCACAGGCCUGAUCCCACUACUGAUCAGCACGGGAGUUUUGACCUGCUCCGUUUCCGACCUGGGCCGGUUCACCAGUCCUUAGGCAACCUGGAGGUCAGAUCAGAAGAGAGUC
Molecule: long non-coding RNA, 401 nt
Organism: Cebus imitator (Panamanian white-faced capuchin)
Lineage: Eukaryota; Metazoa; Chordata; Mammalia; Primates; Cebidae
Exons: 3
Source: RefSeq, a predicted model, not a curated record